This is a long non-coding RNA of Salvelinus sp. IW2-2015, 208 nucleotides long. RefSeq lists it as uncharacterized. Lineage: Eukaryota; Metazoa; Chordata; Actinopteri; Salmoniformes; Salmonidae. The record is from RefSeq and is a predicted model, not a curated record.
UUUUAAUAGGCCCUCAAAUACCUACACAGGCAUCCCCAGAUCAGGAAAUACCAAUGCUGUCUGGGGGAACUGGAAAUGAUUCAAGCCUCCAUCACAGUCAGGGAGUCUACAUUCUGUAAUCUGUGGACCACUGGCUGGCUGGUCCAGAAGUCUAUAGAGUAUCUUAACACUACAUGUUAAAUGUGAUAUUGUAGAAUCUGGUUGGUAU